CCCUUUCCAUCGCAUCUGGCAUGUGGCUCGCGCAGACGAAAAACCUAAAGGUAAAAACAAAUUAUUACGCAGAUGAGAGAAAGAAGGUUAAAAUGGUAGGCCAACGCUGUACAGCCGCCGGUGUAAAGCCUUCUCAGCUCCUGGCUAGAACCGUGUGAAUGGGAGUGGAACGGCAUCUGAGAGCAACCCCAUCGAUGUCCAAGGCGAUGCCAGAAGGAGGACUGACAGAGUAGGCGAUGUCGGUUCAGUUGUGACCUCAGAAACAGGGCGGGAAACUCGAAACCCUCAUGGAGAUGAUAGCUCCACAGGCGAUGUCGCCUGCAUGGGAUGCCCUGAUGGAGACGAUGUGCCCGCAGGAUCUCAGAGGGAGACGAUGAUGCCCUUAGCGCGAACAGAGGAACAUCAUUCCUUGCCACGGUGGAAGUGGACCGACGCACCACCUUGUAGCAAAAUAAGAUUUUGAGGAGGACAGUGCGCGUGUGAGGCGAUACGUAUGCUUGGUGAAGUCGGUCGGUAAUUCUAGAGCUCUACUGGCGAUUCGCUCAUGUUUGGGUUCUUCUUACCCGUCGUCAAUCUUGUCCAUCCAGGUCGGACAGAUGUGCUGUCGCUUUGACCACGUGCGCCUCACUGUGGGGCACAUGGCGAAGCCGGCCCUCCCUGCCCCAAUAUCCGCCGGCACUACGGCGCGGGAGGGCCUCAUGAUGUCCCUCUUCCGCUGCAUGCCAUAAAUGAAAGCGGGCCACGCCGAGCAGCCCAUCGGCAUGAUCGUUCUUCUCCCAGAGAACUCCAAAAAUCUUAAGAGAUUCGACUGGUGUGGAGUGGACCACCAUCCAAGACCAGCCGGCGAGACUGAGAAGCUUAAGACCGAAGGAAAUCCGUCAAAUCUCCAUACAUACUGACCUGUGCGACGCCGGAGAGCAGCACGCUUGUCCUCUCCAGUCUCCAGUCCGCGAAUAGUUCACCCUCCAGCCGUAGGAGCUCCCGGAGAUGGCGUACGGAGCGGCGGCGGACCGCGGACGGCGGAAGUCGACGAGCAGCCAUUAGCCGAGGAGAGGCCAGAUUAAGGUGAAGAUUCUGAGGAUGCUCUUCAAGUCGGUCGUCGCGGUGGCGUCAGUCCCCGCGAGGAGGGGCGGAGGGAGGUUUUCAGGUUUUCUUCGUCCUCCGAAGAUGAAGAACCCUGCCUGAGCUGGUUGUCUCCACCGAUAAUCCCCUCGACUGGGUCGCCGCCGGCGUGGGGAAGACGGCCGGGGCUGUCGCUCCCCUUCUUGUUCAUAAUCUCAGAAUCUAGAUCGUCUUCAUUCAUUCUCGGGCAAUGGUGGGGGAUCCGUACUUAUUUGUCCCCACGAGUCUGUCUAUUAACGAUUUGCCCUUCCGUCUAAAACCAUGAGCGCGCCCAUAGGAUCACCUCUCCUGGUUUUUUCAGACGCCCGCGGGGGAGCCAAACGAUUCGGAGAAUCUCGGGUUCGCGAGCUCUAGCUCAAUGGAGUAGAAUCGGUCGACGAGUGGACCCCCCCUCUACCUAGAGGCUGAAAACUUUAUAGCUUUUCUCUGAUGGGACGUAGAGCUUAUCCGCGUGUCAAUGUAUUGCGUCACUACCCAUAAGAGGGGGGGCAUUAAAUAGGGGAUUGGGGAGGGGGGUGCGAGUAGCCUACGCAGAAUUGCUCCUCUCCGGCUCCCCCACCGUCGCCGCCCCCGCCGCCGCCGCAGCCGUCUGCUCGUCUCGUAUCUUCGUCCGCUCUCCCCCUCUCCGGCGGUCUUUGAUGGAGAGAAUGGAUCUCCCCCAGUCGGAAUCUGCGAGGGGUGGGAGAGGGAACCCGUACCCUCGGAGGGUGGAGGUCAAGCACAAGAUAAUGGCGGAAUUCGCCGUGUCUCUCUGCUGCGCCAGUCAGGACGGCAGCAAGAGCUCCGGAGACGGUCGCAGCCGGGGAAGCUCAUCCGAAUCGAUUUCCCGGCGAGGGAACUCGCCGAGAUGAUGGCUCCUUCGCCUCUCGCCAGCCUUGCCCCGUAAACUCAUUCCGAUUUCUUCUGGCUCUUCCUCGUCUCAAAGUCUCCUCGUCUGCCUGUGUGUGAUAUAGAGGCCGAUCCCUUCCCGGUCCUGUCCAUCUCGUUCCGCAGAACGCUUGAAAUUCAGACGACGUUCCUUCUCUUCAAACUGCGACGAUCAACUCCUCGUGUUCAACAGGGAAGGGGGGGGGGGGGGG
Molecule: long non-coding RNA, 2201 nt
Filed under: Spirodela polyrhiza (greater duckweed)
Lineage: Eukaryota; Viridiplantae; Streptophyta; Magnoliopsida; Alismatales; Araceae
Description: long non-coding RNA (SPOL_LNC001555)
Source: RNAcentral